Long non-coding RNA from Nothoprocta perdicaria, 1242 nucleotides. RefSeq lists it as uncharacterized. NCBI's taxonomy places the organism in Eukaryota, Metazoa, Chordata, Aves, Tinamiformes, Tinamidae. The record is from RefSeq and is a predicted model, not a curated record. The transcript has 3 exons.
UUUGAAGUUCUGUGAAUUUGCCAGACACAGCUUGCGUUUGAAUUUAAUUCUAUGCUUAAGGCUUUGUUGAGAUCCUCGAGGGAGGUGCCACAGCGAGGUAAACCUAUUGAAAGAAAAAUAUCUUGCAAGGGUAUCUCUCAAGUUUUCUCUUCCAGCAGUGUUUCAUCCUGCAUAUGCAGAGACUGUGGAACAGUACACCAUGAAACAAACAUAAAAAGUAGCAGAGAAAAUGAAUUUAGGGAACACAAAUCAUAGAUGAAGCUAGUGGGAGACCUGGAAAUUCAAAGUGGUGUAGGACACCUCAGCAAAUCUCUGCUGCAAGGAAAUUCUGAAGUUGGAUUCAUUCGGUAUGGCCUUUGAUUUCUGAAGCUCACCCACACAAUUGCAAGCAAUUUUCAAGYGCUAACCAUCAUUUUGUAUGCCUUAAAUGUGUGAAGGGGUAUAUGAAACACAAUCAAUGCUGUGUGCACGAGGACCAAGAAAAAAUAUGUUCAUGGCUAUUAUGCUCUGGUUAUAAAGUUAUAAUGUACAUAGAGACUGGAAUUUUACCUGCUUGGAAUUACUUGUGUAUGAAUGAUGAGGGUGUUAAAGGCCCCAACCCUUGAGCAUUGGCUCAGCAUUUCUGACAGGCUGAGCCAGGGCUGUGAGAAGCAGAACAGCAGGACUACAAGUAAGACUGAAUUUUGUAUCAUCAAAGUGUGGUUAGGGAAUACUCCAGCUCUUCAGGAGUCCUGGCUAUGUUUUACACCUGUCUGCAAUUACAACCUUGCAGAAUCAGGACUGACCACUGACCUGCUCAGCACCUGGACAGACCAAAUCUAAGACUUAGCCCCUAGCUGUGAUGGAUUUAUUCAAACUUGAGAUGUGAAAUCUGUGUCAUUUUGGUAUUUGAGAAUGACUAAGUUGUUUGUGGGGAAAACGAGUUUCAGGAGGAACCUAAUUCCUUUUUCAGAAGGACUAAGAUCAAAACAGAAAAUUGGUGAAAAGAAGUGGCUUUCUGUCCUGCAUCACACAGCUUCUAGGCAGUAGGCAUCCUAUUCAGGUCGAAGCAGCUCGUGAGGUGUUUGUGUAAUCUGCAUACAACCAUCAAGAUGAAGAUUAGCUUWGAAGAUGUUCUUCACACUUAGGCUAAGUUCACCAGUUCAUCAAAACUGAACAUGUUUAAUUCCCUCACAUAAUUGCAAUGCAUCUGCAUAAUCUUGCAGUUGACUGUCAAGAUACUUUAUUACAAACUGAAGAAAG